AUAUUGCGCAAUGGAGGGAACUCUGACUCUGCUACGCCGCGUGAGCGAUGAAGGUCCUCGGAUCGUAUAGCUCUGUCCUCAGGGAAGAAGGUCUUUUGACUUGCCGGUACCUGUCGCGUAUUCCCCGGCUAGCUACGUGCCAGCAGCCGCGGUAACACGUAGGGGGCAAGCGUUGUCCGGAAUUAUUGGGCGUAAAGGGUGCGUAGGCGGCCUUUUAAGUCAGAUGUGAAAGACAACGGCUUAACCGUGGGAUUGAAUUUGAAACUGGAGGGCUUGAGUAUCGGAGAGGGUAGUGGAAUUCCCAGUGUAGAGGUGAAAUGCGUAGGUAUUGGGAGGAACACCAGUGGCGAAGGCGACUACCUGGACGAAAACUGACGCUGAUGCACGAAAGCUAGGGGAGCAAACA
Molecule: ribosomal RNA, 406 nt
Filed under: uncultured bacterium
Lineage: Bacteria
Description: partial 16S ribosomal RNA
Rfam family: Bacterial small subunit ribosomal RNA
Source: RNAcentral